GCUCCGGUGGCUUAGGGGUAAAGCGCGACACUAGUAAUUGUCGAGAUCCGCGGUUCAAAUCCGCGUCGGAGCU
RNAcentral lists this transfer RNA (73 nucleotides) under Pyronema omphalodes CBS 100304. RNAcentral's name for it is "tRNA-Thr". It matches the Rfam family "tRNA". Rfam says of the family: Transfer RNA (tRNA) molecules are approximately 80 nucleotides in length. Their secondary structure includes four short double-helical elements and three loops (D, anti-codon, and T loops). The record is from RNAcentral. Lineage: Eukaryota; Fungi; Ascomycota; Pezizomycetes; Pezizales; Pyronemataceae.